This 65-nucleotide transfer RNA is filed under the name Drilus rectus. RNAcentral describes it as "tRNA-Glu". The record is from RNAcentral. Lineage: Eukaryota; Metazoa; Arthropoda; Insecta; Coleoptera; Elateridae.
GUUUAUAUAGUUUAACAAAAACAUUACAUUUUCAUUGUAAAAUUAAAAUAUGAUUUUUAUAAAUA